AACGCACCUUGCGCUCCUUGGACAUUCCGAGGAGCAUGCCUGUUUGAGUGUCAUUAAAUUCUCAACCCCAGCAGCUUUUGUGGCUGGUCUUUGGGGCUUGGAUUGUGGAGGUUUCUGUUGGCCUUUGAAAGGUCAGCUCCUCUUAAAUGCAUUAGCGGAACCGUUUGUGAUCCGUCACAGGUGUGAUAAUUAUCUACACCCAAGUGGAUUGCUUUCUGUCUGUUCAGCUUACAAUCGUCUGUAUAGACAAAUUUAUUUUGAAAACUUGACCUCAAAUCAGGUAGGACUACCCGCUGAACUUAA
RNAcentral lists this unclassified non-coding RNA (303 nucleotides) under uncultured fungus. Its description in RNAcentral is "partial contains 5.8S ribosomal RNA, internal transcribed spacer 2, and large subunit ribosomal RNA". Lineage: Eukaryota; Fungi. The record is from RNAcentral.